GCCUGCGUAAUAGGCUUCAG
RNAcentral lists this small nuclear RNA (20 nucleotides) under Arabidopsis thaliana (thale cress). RNAcentral's name for it is "snRNA_06260". Lineage: Eukaryota; Viridiplantae; Streptophyta; Magnoliopsida; Brassicales; Brassicaceae. The record is from RNAcentral.